Long non-coding RNA from Cyprinus carpio (common carp), 1063 nucleotides. The record is from Ensembl. NCBI's taxonomy places the organism in Eukaryota, Metazoa, Chordata, Actinopteri, Cypriniformes, Cyprinidae.
GAUGUGGUGGUUUUCACGUCUCUGUUCUUUCAGUGUUUUAUGUCUAAUUUUACUCUUCUUUUCCUUUCAGUGGCGACACAGAGACGCUGCAAGCAGGUUCAUCAGUUGAACAUAAACUGUGUUCAGGGUGACAGCAUGACUAUUUUUUGCCUGACCACAACCCACCCGCUGGAGUCUCUGACAGUCAAACUACACAAGAAAAACCAAGAUAAAGACAUCCUGAUAAAUCCAGACAUCUCUCCAGCAUCAGAGCACCAGAGAUGGUCUGUGAGGAAAGAUGCUGGAAAUGUUACACUUGAUCUGAAAGACAUCAGAUUAUCUGAUGAUGGCUUUUAUGACUGUCAGGUCUACAAGGAUCAGGACUGCCUUCAUGCAACUACAUUUAACCUGAGGGUCAAAGGUAAGAAUGCAAAUUUCUGAAACAAGCAAAUAAUCCCCAGGUAACCCAUUGUAAUGUAGUAUGUUUCUUUGGUUUUUAGAGUGUAAAAUUUUGGACUCUGUCCAUCCAACACCAGGCUCUUCAGUGCUGCUGCCAUGCUCUGAACAUCCUCUACAAAACAGAACUGAACGAGUCACUUGGAACAUCAUUAUUGGUCAUCAACCAACAGAUAUAUUUCAGUAUCGGCCACCAAACAAGCCCUCAAGCAGCACAGAGAAACCCCCAAAGCCUCUGUAUGAGAGAGCGAGACAACUAGCAAACGGAUCUCUGCUUAUAAGAGAUGCAGUACGCACUGAUAAUUUUUGGUAUCAAUGCAGAGUGAAUGAAAAAACCUGCUAUGAAGUGAAGCUGCUGCUGAAAGAUGAUCCAACCCCAGAGGACAGUACGGUUGUUCAGACUGAACACAACAACAAUUACGAGAGUGAAACAGCGAUAACUAAUUCAACAGUAGUGGUGAUGACCACAGUAGUGUCUCUGUGUGUCCUCAUAUCACUGACCAUCUGUGUCAUUGUGUAUUUCAAAAAACGAAGAUGCAAAAUCGACAGCCAAAGUAAGUCCACAACUUCUGAGUGUGUUGCAAUAAAGAAACUGAAAUACUGUAACUUUGUUAUGAUGAUAAAUUGA